This 459-nucleotide ribosomal RNA is filed under the name uncultured bacterium. Its description in RNAcentral is "partial 16S ribosomal RNA". It matches the Rfam family "Bacterial small subunit ribosomal RNA", at positions 338 to 795 of the family's 1533-position model. The record is from RNAcentral.
CCUACGGGCGGCAGCAGUGAGGAAUAUUGGUCAAUGGCCGCAACUCUGAACCAGCCAAGCAGCGUGAAGGACGAAGGUGCCAAGCAUUGUAAACUUCUUUUGUCCAGGGACAAACUCAGGCUCGAGAGCCUGACCGCGGGUACUUCAUGAAAAAGCACCGGCUAACUCCGUGCCAGCAGCCGCGGUAAUACGGAGGAUGCGAGCGUUCUCCGGUUUUAUUGGGGUUAAAGGGUGGGUAGGCGGGUGGUUAAGUCAGCUGUAAAAGCCCGGGGCUAAACCCCGGCGAGCCGUUGAAACUGGCUGGCUUGAGUGGUCGAGAGGUAGGCGGAAUGCGCAGUGUAGCGGUGAAAUGCUUAGAUAUUGCGCAGAACUCCGAUUGCGAAGGCAGCAUACCGGCGGCGAUCUGACGCUGAGGCACGAAAGCGUGGGUAUCGAACAGGAUUAGAUACCCUAGUAGUC